This 503-nucleotide ribosomal RNA is filed under the name uncultured bacterium. Its description in RNAcentral is "partial 16S ribosomal RNA". It matches the Rfam family "Bacterial small subunit ribosomal RNA", at positions 29 to 523 of the family's 1533-position model. The record is from RNAcentral.
AACGAACGCUGGCGGCGUGUUUAAGACAUGCAAGUCGCACGGGAUAAGACAUGUAGUAAUACUUGUUUUAUUUAGUGGCGCACGGGUGAGUAACACGUGAAUUACAUGCCCUAUAGUGGGGAAUAGCCCAGGGAAACUUGGAUUAAUACCCCAUGGUAUCGAAAGAUUAAAGGUGGCCGCAAGGCUGUCGCUAUAGGAUUGGUUCGCGCCAUAUCAGCUUGUUGGUGAGGUAACGGCUCACCAAGGCAAUGACGGGUACCUGGUCUGAGAGGACGAUCAGGCACACUGGAACUGAGACACCGUCCAGACACCUACGGGUGGCAGCAGUCGAGAAUAAUUCACAAUGGGGGCAACCCUGAUGGUGCAACGCCGCGUGAAGGAUGACGGUCUUCGGAUUGUAAACUCCUGUCAUCUGGGAGAAAGACCUGACGGUAAAUAGCCGGCAGGGUUGAUAGUACCAGAAGAGGAAGGGACGGCUAACUUCGUGCCAGCCGCCGCGGUAA